GAAACCAACAGGGAUUGCCUCAGUAACGGCGAGUGAAGCGGCAAAAGCUCAAAUUUGAAACCCUCGGGAUUGUAAUUUGAAGAUUUGGCAUUGGAGAAAGCUAACCCAAGUUGCUUGGAAUAGUACGUCAUAGAGGGUGACAACCCCGUCUGGCUAACCGUUCUCCAUGUAUUGCCUUAUCAAAGAGUCGAGUUGUUUGGGAAUGCAGCUCAAAGUGGGUGGUAAACUCCAUCUAAAGCUAAAUACUGGUGAGAGACCGAUAGCGAACAAGUACUGUGAAGGAAAGGUGAAAAGAACUUUGAAAAGAGAGUGAAAUAGUAUGUGAAAUUGUUGAUAGGGAAGGAAAUGAGUGGAGAGUGGCCGAGGUUUCAGCCGCCCCUCGUGGGCGGUGUACUGCCGACGCCGAGUCAUCGAUAGCGAGACGAGGGUUACAAAUGGGAGCGCCUUCGGGCGUUCUCCCCUAACCCUCCACAC
This 474-nucleotide ribosomal RNA is filed under the name Yarrowia lipolytica. RNAcentral's name for it is "eukaryotic LSU rRNA". It matches the Rfam family "Eukaryotic large subunit ribosomal RNA", at positions 61 to 515 of the family's 3401-position model. The record is from RNAcentral. Lineage: Eukaryota; Fungi; Ascomycota; Dipodascomycetes; Dipodascales.